UUGCGCUCCCGGGAUAUGCCUGGGAGCAUGCUUGUCGGGGAGGAGGAGGCGAAAACUCGCCCACAGCUUUGGGUUCGAUCUCGACCUCAAGGCGGUGGAGCGGAAUCUGAGUGUUCCGGGGAGCGGUAGUGUGGUGUGUACUUUUGUACAUACUGCCUGUUCGUCCCCUGAGUCCACCCAAGCCUAGAGAGCUACCGAUUGUCCGGGCUUCUAUUGUCUUUGCGGCGCUGGAGACAGGUCUACCUUGCGUCCUCCGGAAGAUACGUUGUUGACGCCGGGGAUGUGCGCGGGUGACUUUGAGGUGUCGCUGGAGGCAAGUUCACCUUGCGUCCUCCGGAGGAUCUGUUGUUGACGGCGCCCCAUAUCGCGGGGCGGGGACAUGACGGGUCGCCGGGGAUGUGCGCAGGUGGCCUUGAGGCUUGGAACGUUAGGCAGUCUCGAGAGUGCCGGUGAGAGACCGGUGAUUAUGAUUAUGCCAUACCCCCGAUCAAGCAAGAAGACCCGCCGAAUUUAAGCAUAUACUAAGCGGAGGAA
Molecule: unclassified non-coding RNA, 534 nt
Filed under: Sargassum ilicifolium
Lineage: Eukaryota; Phaeophyceae; Fucales; Sargassaceae
Description: sequence contains 5.8S rRNA gene, ITS2 and 28S rRNA gene
Source: RNAcentral